This is a long non-coding RNA of Vespula vulgaris, 4908 nucleotides long. RefSeq lists it as uncharacterized. The transcript has 4 exons. Lineage: Eukaryota; Metazoa; Arthropoda; Insecta; Hymenoptera; Vespidae. The record is from RefSeq and is a predicted model, not a curated record.
AAUCUCACAUAGCAGGAACUUUUCGAAGGAAAUUUAAUUCUCUGAGACUAAUGCUAAAUACUACAUGGACGUAACAGUAGAUUCCUGUUCCAACUUUAACUCAAUUCACUAUACAAAACCAGAUAUCGCUUUUUCAUAACAAUGUUCGAAAAAACUUGAAAUUGCAAAUCACAGUCCCAUUUUAUACGUUCAGGUUGGUGUAAGACACAACACUAUUGAAUACUGUGAAAAAGAGAUUUUUAUAUUCAAUAAAAAAAUAUUCUUGAAUGACAAGUUGCGACCGCGUCAGGAUGGAAAGUUUAUUCGAUACAUCAAGAAUACAAACUUCUACAUCUUCAAAGUUCUCAAAAACGAGACCAAUGAAAUGAAAUGUAUUCAAAUAAGACAGUAUAAGUGAUAAAGUUGACAAUACAGGAAAAAUAAACGUUACUGAAGAUGUCGGUGAAGGAAACGCGUUAGUUUGUAGAGUUCAAAAAUUUUUUGUGAAAAUUGUAAAAAGUAUGAACAAUGUUUUAUAUCAGAUAACUAUGAGGAUAAUAAAAAGGAUGGAAACACGGCUUAGACAGAGCAAGGGAGAGCCGUCACAAAUGCCAUUUUUUGAUAAUAAGACUAUCGAGGGUUGUCUCUCGGAUAGUACCAUUGAUCAAUUAUUAAAAUUCUAUGGUCAAGCUUUCAAAUACAAUGAAUAUAACCUAGAUAUUAUCGAAAAAGCUGUAUGUAUAACUUUCUUCCAUAUACUAUCGGUGGAUGACAAUCAAUUUCAAAAUUUAUCUUCAAAGGAUUGGUGUAAACAUAUAAUAGUUGGAGCAAAGCUUUAUCUACAAGAAUUCGUUACAUGAGCCUGUUAUGUUGACUGUGAGACCACUUUACAAAAAUUUGACAAAUUCAGAUGUAUCGAAGAAAUAUCUCGUAGAGAAAAUACAAUGUAAACGAAUCAUUCAAUAACAUUCUGUGAACAAAUGUACCAAAAAAUGUAUUUGUGGAGUCCCAUACAUUGAAGUUUAGUAUAUAUGAUGCUAUUGUCAUAUUUACUGUUAGUAAAGCAGGCAAAUUGGAAAAGCUAAGAGAUGAUAAAACGACUAUAUUAAAGAAACUGAACAAGCAAUAAAUUGGCAAAGCAAAGUUACAAGCCUAUAUAUUGUUUAAAGAAACAAGAUCUUUGGAAAAAUGAAAGAGAACAGAAAAAGAUGAACAUUAUAAUGGUGGAUAAUUUUUACUAAAAAGUAAAUAUUUAUUUAAGUUACAUUUUAUUCGCAAUUUCUAAAAAACUUUAUUCUUUUAAACAAUUAAUUCAUUUUCUUAGAAACUAUUUAAGAUUGAUUUUUAAUUUUUUUGCUCAAUAAACCAUAUUCAAAACGUAUUAUUCAGAAAUAUAUUACUUUAUUAAUGACUGAUAUAAUCAAUCUAAUAUUAGCAGUGGAUGAAAAAACUUGAAGUAGAAGAAAAACGUUAACUUCGCAUUUUUAUUUAUUUUUGAUUUUCUACUGCACAAUUAUUUCAAUUAAAAUUUUUAUAGUUUUUGUACCGAUCGGUUUAAUACUGACCAUUUAUACUAUGUAUUGAUAAUUUAUUAUUAACGAUGACCAUUAAUUUAUUUAAAUCAUCGAUUAAAAAUGCUGAAAAAUAUUGACCUCAUAAAUAAAAACUUUAGUUAAAAUAGAAAUAGAACUUCGCUUUUAUCGUGUUAUAUCGUGUCAUAUAUACGAUCGGUUGAACUUUUUUUUUAUAAAAUGAAUUAUUUUUUAAUUAUCUACCUCUCGCUCUAGAAAUAUCAUAUAUUUCAUUUAAAUUGAAAAUAAUAUAAUAUCGUGGAACGUGAAUUCUUUUGAUAACAUAUUAUUUAACGUGACAUUGUAAGAAACUAAGAUGAGCGAUGACUAAUUCCAUAAAUACUUGUAUAUGUCCUUGCCUUAUUGUUUAUGUCCUUGGGUAUAUCUAAUGAGAGCAGUUGUUUUGUAAAAAAAAAUGUUGGAAAUAUAGAGAGGUCAUAGAAAGUUUCUUGUAGAAUGAACGACUGUUCAUUUAAUCUUUCACGUUAACAAUAGGUACGUUAUUUCGAGGCUAUAAGAAUUUGUAGUUUAGAUUUUAGUUAUAAACUGUUCGACUAAGUUAGAACAUCGUACGUCAAGUUUGUGAUAUGCCAGAGGAUAGAGAAGUUUCGUAGGACAUAAAAGGAAGAUGAUACUGUAUCAAAAUAUAUCUGCAAUUGAAACUACCAUUUGCGGAAGAUUACAAGCCUCAAGAAAAAAAAAGAGAACGAAGGAAUAAUUACGUAAUUCCAGUGGAUUAUAAAGUUAAAGUAAUUAUUGAUUUUAAAUAAUCUUCCGAGAAAGAAAAACAAAAUAGAGUGUUACAGUUGAGAAUUUAUAGAGAAUUUAACGAUAUGGAUAGAACAUGUUGAAAAUGGCGGAUAGAUUAAAUUAUGCAGCCAACGAUUGUUAGUUUCUAUCUUAGAAUUGAGAGCAUUCAAUAAUAUUGUUAACAGGUAAAAUACAGGAGGUUUUCAGCGAUAUUCUUUGUCUGCUGUAAGUCAAUUUCAAAAUUUGAAUUUAACAAUGCUCCGGUUUACGUAUUAUCAAACGAUUCGAACAGAAGCAUCAAAUACAUUAAGAAAAAGAAAUUAACAAAACACAUAUUCCAAAUAAGAAAAAGGAAACGACAAAAAGUGAAACGAUGACUUGUGCGAGAAAUUUUCUGAUCCAAAUUUAUGCUCUCAUAUCGCAAGAAAAUUCAUUGAUUUCUCGGAGAAAUUCUCGGAUCAGAAUUCAUGCUCUUCUACCUCAAGAAAGUUCGUUGGCUUGUGUGAGAAAUUUUCAAAUAAAAAUUCGUGUUGUCGUAUCAAAAUAUCAUUCCAACUUUAUCAUUGAUACGGUAUUUGAAAGGUUUACAAAUAUUGAACAGGUUGCCUAUAUCACUUUAUCUUGGACUGAACAAUUGUUCAUCAGGAUUCAAAACCAGUUUUUUUUUCAAAACGAUGAAAAUUGAUCAAGUAGAAUACUGUUUAGAAAAAUGCUGUCCGAAAAAAUGAUUACCUUUGAUUUUCUGUCUAUUUGUAAAUGACAAUUGAAGAUCAUUUAGACCCAGAAAGAGAAAGAGAGAGAGAGAGAGAGAGAGUUUCGUUGAAUUUGUUCAGAAUUGUUCACAGUUGGUCGUAAAUUUCAUAUAAAACGUGAAAUUUUAUUAUCAAUAAGGUACUAUAAAAAAUAACGAUUAUCAAAAUUUGUCGAAAUUAUUAAUCUUAAAAAUUUUCUCUUCGACUAUUUAUAGACACAAAAUGAAUUACAAACAUUAAUUACAAUUUAUUGUAGUUUACUAUCUGAAUAAUAAGUUUAUUGCAGCUUAAAAUUUAUUUAUAAAUUCACAAAUUUGUUAAUAAUUUAUGCAUUAUUAAUAUAUAAUUUAUUUUUUUACAUAAUAAAUUUACUAUCACGCAUUUCAAUAUAGUAAUACAUGAGUUAUUUAUUGUAUUUAAGGACGAAUUUUUAAAAGUAUUGAAAAAGUAUAUAACAAAAAAAAAUAAAAAUAAGUUACAAAUAAGAUGAUAAUAAUAAUAAUUCGAGUUGAAUCGUUAUAUAUUCGAAAUUUUCAAAAUGCUGUCCAUUGUAUCAUAAACUCUACCAUGUUAAAAAUUAUUUUUAAAUUGAACUAUUUUUAAGUCGAAUGGUUUUUAAAUCUAAUGUAAAUAGAAUAAUUUAUGGAGCAUAUACAAAUUUUGUUAAAUGUCAAAAAUUGUUAACAGUAUAAAAGACAAUUUUCUUUUUUACAAUAUGAUGUUAAUAAUAUAAAAGAUUAUCUUGUUUCUUACAAUAUGAUCGGUUUAUUAAAACAUAAAUUUAUUGUUUUAAAAAACUAAUUAAAUUGUCGAACUGAUUCCAUUGGAUCAAGUAUAGCUUCAAAAUCUUAUUGGCACCUCUUGUAAUCAAGAAAAGUUCUUUUGUACUCCUUUCAUAAGAAUAAUCUGAUAUCUAAAUGUAGUAUUUUUUUGAAAAUCGCAAAGUACAGAUCGAAAUGUAAGACCAGUCAAAAUUUACAACGAGUGAACCAAUCUUACACUAUUCAGUAUAUUAGUUUUAUAAUUUUUUUUAUUUCUGAAUAUGUCUAAGUGUUCAUAAGAAAAUUAUUGAAAAACAUUCAGAAUAUUAGUAAAGAAUGUUCUGAUGGAUAAAAUUUUGAGUUUGAAAAUGAACAAAUUGAAAGCAAGGAAGAUUUAUUUAUCACUGAAGAAAUUGAAAGUGAUCAUGUGAUACCGACGAUAAAAAAAAAGAGCACUGUGAAUGCCCAUAGAGAACAAAAGCGCAGAAGAUUUUUAUCAGAAUCCGAAAGUGAAAGUGACUAAAAUGUCCAGUAUAUUCAAGUCGCUCUUGAUGAAACUGUUUAGCAACAAAUAAUCCAAGAUCCAACAAUUGGCAUACCAUCACACAUUGUGUUUCAAAAAGGUAUCAAGUCCAAUAGCAAAACGAAAUAUUAUAUUUGGUAAAGUUGAAACGACAUUUUUCUUGAUAAUCGAUAAUAUUAUUAUGGAGUACAUCAAAAAGUAUACGGAAGUAAAAGCGUUGCAAAUUCUACGUACAAAAUUGAUUCUAGCGAUACCAAAAUUAUACGCUUUCAUCGCAAUUCUAUGCGUACUUGGUGCUUAUCAAACAAAAAAUUUACCCAUUUCAUAUUUAUGAAAUUCGAAAUGGGAACCUGCCUUUUUUCGUCAAACUGUGAACAGGAACACUUUCAUCGAAAUUUUAAAAUUUCUUCGGUUCGAUGAAAUUACAUCUACUACUAGUAAACGUACGAAGAAGAAUGUUAUCUGCAAAUAAUGCAAUUAAAAAAUUAAAACCACCCUUCUAUCACUAAGUAAAGUAAAUACUAGUCCUAUGUUUAUGUUAUUUAUGAUAUAUAAAUAAAAAUGAGAAUAUA